RNAcentral lists this ribosomal RNA (468 nucleotides) under uncultured bacterium. Its description in RNAcentral is "partial 16S ribosomal RNA". It matches the Rfam family "Bacterial small subunit ribosomal RNA", at positions 28 to 507 of the family's 1533-position model. The record is from RNAcentral.
GACGAACGCUGGCGGCGUGCUUAACACAUGCAAGUCGAACGGAAAGGCCCUGCUUUUGUGGGGUGCUCGAGUGGCGAACGGGUGAGUAACACGUGAGUAACCUGCCCUUGACUUUGGGAUAACUUCAGGAAACUGGGGCUAAUACCGGAUAGGAGAUCCUGCUGCAUGGUGGGGGUUGGAAAGUUUCGGCGGUUGGGGAUGGAAUCGCGGCUUAUCAGCUUGUUUGUGGAGUAGUGGCUUACCAAGGGUUUGACGGGUAGCCGGCCUGAGCGGGUGACCGGCCACAUUGGGACUGAGAGACGGCCCAGACUCCUACGGGAGGCAGCAGUGGGGAAUAUUGCACAAUGGGCGGAAGCCUGAUGCAGCAACGCCGCGUGCGUGAUGACGGCCUUCGGGUUGUAAACCGCUGUCGCCUGUGACGAAGCGUGAGUGACGGUAAUGGGUAAAGAAGCACCGGCUAACUACGUG